RNAcentral lists this ribosomal RNA (222 nucleotides) under uncultured bacterium. RNAcentral describes it as "partial 16S ribosomal RNA". It matches the Rfam family "Bacterial small subunit ribosomal RNA", at positions 109 to 334 of the family's 1533-position model. The record is from RNAcentral.
AGUAAUGCUUGGGAAUCUGGCUUAUGGAGGGGGAUAACUACGGGAAACUGUAGCUAAUACCGCGUAAUAUCGAAAGAUUAAAGUGUGGGACCUUCGGGCCACAUGCCAUAGGAUGAGCCCAAGUGGGAUUAGGUAGUUGGUGAGGUAAAGGCUCACCAAGCCGACGAUCUCUAGCUGGUCUGAGAGGAUGACCAGCCACACUGGGACUGAGACGCGGCCCAG